This 253-nucleotide ribosomal RNA is filed under the name uncultured bacterium. RNAcentral describes it as "partial 16S ribosomal RNA". It matches the Rfam family "Bacterial small subunit ribosomal RNA", at positions 524 to 776 of the family's 1533-position model. The record is from RNAcentral.
UACGGAGGGUGCAAGCGUUAUCCGGAUUCACUGGGUUUAAAGGGAGCGUAGGUGGUCUGUUAAGUCAGUGGUGAAAUCUCCGGGCUUAACUCGGAAACUGCCGUUGAUACUAUCAGUCUUGAAUAUUGUGGAGGUAAGCGGAAUAUGUCAUGUAGCGGUGAAAUGCUUAGAUAUGGCAUAGAACACCGAUAGCGAAGGCAGCUUGCUACACAAUUAUUGACACUGAGGCUCGAAAGCGUGGGGAGCAAACAGG